UUUUGUUCCUUCAGACGCUCCCUCCUCCGCCAACACCGCUCUCUCUUCCGAUGCCGAUGCCGACGCCGAAACCUGUAGUAGAUGCCACCGCCGACGCCGCCAUUCCGUCUCGACUUGCCGCCGACCCUGCUAGCCUCUGCCACCGCCAUUGCUAGCCUCCACCACCACUGUUCAUUGAAGAAGCUGAGAGAAGUUUGCAUGUCGCAAUUAUGAUUGUUAGAAGAGCUAUGAAAAACUCUACCGUUGUUGCUGGUGGUGGUGCGAUAGAUGUAAGACCUUAACACCAUUCUGUAAUAUCUGGUUUCAUUGAUCUCAACAACUUGAAAUCUCACGCACGCACGCAAAAUAAAUUGCUCGGUGCAGAUGGAGAUUAGCCGAUAUUUAAGGCAGCAUGCAUGCAUAAUAAAAGGGAAAUCUCAACUCUUUAUAAACUCAUAUGCCAAAGCCCUUGGAUGCCUGGGAGGAAGUUGAUCUAGAUGAAUUCUCUUAUGAGGAAUUAUUAGCGUUGGAUGAAGUAGUUGGAACUGAGAGCAGGGGACUUUCUGCAGAUACAAUUGCCUCUUUACCUUCAAUGAGCUACAAAUCACAAAAUACUCAGGAUGGAGCUAAUGAUUCCACAAUAAACUCAUAAUUUACUGUUUAUGUUAAGAUAUUAUUUUUAAAAUUCUUGCUUUUGUGUUAGAUGUGUCAUCUGUAGAAUGACUUUGCUUUUGUUCUAAAGGAACAGAAAAUGUGA
This is an RNA transcript of Ipomoea triloba (trilobed morning glory), 736 nucleotides long. It is a transcript of the gene named E3 ubiquitin ligase BIG BROTHER-related-like, with no coding region annotated. Lineage: Eukaryota; Viridiplantae; Streptophyta; Magnoliopsida; Solanales; Convolvulaceae. The transcript is spliced from 4 exons. The record is from RefSeq and is a predicted model, not a curated record.